AGCAGCAGCCGCGGUAAUACGUGGGGUGCGAGCGUUAAUCGGAAUUACUGGGCGUAAAGCGUGCGCAGGCGGUUAUAUAAGACAGAUGUGAAAUCCCCGGGCUCAACCUGGGACCUGCAUUUGUGACUGUAUAGCUAGAGUACGGUAGAGGGGGAUGGAAUUCCACGUGUAGCAGUGAAAUGCGUAGAUAUGCGGAGGAACACCGAUGGCGAAGGCAAUCCCCUGGACCUGUACUGACGCUCAUGCACGAAAGCGUGGGGAGCAAACAGGAUUAGAUACCCGCGUAGUCCCUGUCUCUUAUAC
Molecule: ribosomal RNA, 303 nt
Filed under: uncultured bacterium
Lineage: Bacteria
Description: partial 16S ribosomal RNA
Rfam family: Bacterial small subunit ribosomal RNA
Source: RNAcentral